UUUUUGGAGAGUUUGAUCCUGGCUCAGGACGAACGCUGGCGGCGUGCCUAAUACAUGCAAGUCGAGCGGACCAAAAUGAAAGUUUACUUUCAUUUUGGUUAGCGGCGGACGGGUGAGUAACACGUGGGUAACCUGCCUGUAAGACUGGGAUAACUCCGGGAAACCGGGGCUAAUACCGGAUAACUUCUUUCCUCGCAUGAGGAAAGAUUGAAAGAUGGCUUUUGCUAUCACUUACAGAUGGACCCGCGGCGCAUUAGCUAGUUGGUGAGGUAACGGCUCACCAAGGCAACGAUGCGUAGCCGACCUGAGAGGGUGAUCGGCCACACUGGGACUGAGACACGGCCCAGACUCCUACGGGAGGCAGCAGUAGGGAAUCUUCCGCAAUGGACGAAAGU
RNAcentral lists this ribosomal RNA (395 nucleotides) under Heyndrickxia camelliae. Its description in RNAcentral is "bacterial SSU rRNA". It matches the Rfam family "Bacterial small subunit ribosomal RNA", at positions 1 to 382 of the family's 1533-position model. The record is from RNAcentral. Lineage: Bacteria; Bacillati; Bacillota; Bacilli; Caryophanales; Bacillaceae.